GAUGAACGCUGGCGGCGUGCCUAAUACAUGCCAGUCGAGCGAACAGACGAGGAGCUUGCUCCUCUGACGUUAGCGGCGGACGGGUGAGUAACACAUGGAUAACCUACCUAUAAGACUGGGAUAACUUCGGGAAACCGGAGCUAAUACCGGAUAAUAUAUUGAACCGCAUGGUUCAAUAGUGAAAGACGGUUUUGCUGUCACUUAUAGAUGGAUCCGCGCCGCAUUAGCUAGUUGGUAAGGUAACGGCUUACCAAGGCAACGAUGCGUAGCCGACCUGAGAGGGUGAUCGGCCACACUGGAACUGAGACACGGUCCAGACUCCUACGGGAGGCAGCAGUAGGGAAUCUUCCGCAAUGGGCGAAAGCCUGACGGAGCAACGCCGCGUGAGUGAUGAAGGUCUUCGGAUCGUAAAACUCUGUUAUUAGGGAAGAACAAAUGUGUAAGUAAUUAUGCACGUCUUGACGGUACCUAAUCAGAAAGCCACGGCUAACUACGUG
Molecule: ribosomal RNA, 497 nt
Filed under: uncultured bacterium
Lineage: Bacteria
Description: partial 16S ribosomal RNA
Rfam family: Bacterial small subunit ribosomal RNA
Source: RNAcentral